AUUGAACGCUGGCGGCAGGCCUAACACAUGCAAGUCGAACGGUAACAGGAAGCAGCUUGCUGCUUUGCUGACGAGUGGCGGACGGGUGAGUAAUGUCUGGGAAACUGCCUGAUGGAGGGGGAUAACUACUGGAAACGGUAGCUAAUACCGCAUAACGUCGCAAGACCAAAGAGGGGGACCUUAGGGCCCCUUGCCAUCGGAUGUGCCCAGGUGGGAUUAGCUAGUAGGUGGGGUAACGGCUCACCUAGGCGACGAUCCCUAGCUGGUCUGAGAGGAUGACCAGCCACACUGGAACUGAGACACGGUCCAGACUCCUACGGGAGGCAGCAGUGGGGAAUAUUGCACAAUGGGCGCAAGCCUGAUGCAGCCAUGCCGCGUGUAUGAAGAAGGCCUUCGGGUUGUAAAGUACUUUCAGCGGGGAGGAAGGGAGUAAAGUUAAUACCUUUGCUCAUUGACGUUACCCGCAGAAGAAGCACCGGCUAACUCCGU
RNAcentral lists this ribosomal RNA (489 nucleotides) under uncultured bacterium. RNAcentral describes it as "partial 16S ribosomal RNA". It matches the Rfam family "Bacterial small subunit ribosomal RNA", at positions 30 to 506 of the family's 1533-position model. The record is from RNAcentral.